RNAcentral lists this long non-coding RNA (1935 nucleotides) under Rhinopithecus bieti (black snub-nosed monkey). RNAcentral's name for it is "lncRNA (ENSRBIG00000046283.1)". The record is from RNAcentral. Lineage: Eukaryota; Metazoa; Chordata; Mammalia; Primates; Cercopithecidae.
GGGACCAUGGGCGGCUUAUGUUCCACGAUUUUGAGGCCAUUUGCAGCGAGCUCCGCCAGCCUGCCCCUCCCCUGCAGCCGCCACCACCGGCACAGCACCGCCACCAGUGUCUUCGGGGCUUUCUUCAGAGGAGACUGUCAGCAUCCUCAAGUUCCAGGUGCUCUGGCCCCAGUCCUGCUUCUUGACGCUUUUUGCCAGGGGCUGCCUCCCCUUCUCAAUGGCCUGAACCUUGGCCAGUUCCCACAAAGUUUGACGGGAACACAAGGCUGUCACUGACAUUUGUGGCACUAUAACUUACAGGCACGCGUGUUGCACACAUCGGACACUGUGCCACAUGCAGUGACACCAUCUGAGGUGCGCACGCCGCACGCGCACCCCGCACGCGCACGCCGCACCGUCUUGGCUUGGCGUUCUGCACACGCGUGUGUAACGGCUUGGGUUGGCGUUCCUCGCUUGGCUUGGUGUUGGUCGCUUGACUUGACGUUCCUUGCUUGGCUUGGCAUUGGUCGCUUUGCUUCCUGGUCCUUGCGUGGAUUGGCGUUUCCUCCCUCGGCAUUCCUUUGCUGGGCUUGACCUUUCCUUGGCUGGGCUUGGCAUUCCCCUGGCUGGGCUGGGUGUUUCCUUGGCGGGUGGGUGGAGGGGCUUGGCCUUUCCCCGGGUGGGUGUGGGCUUUCCCCCGGGGUGGGAGUGGGAUUUUCCCAGGUGGGUGUGGCCUUGCAAAUACUGCUGGGCUUGGCCUCUCCUCGCCUGGGCUGGGCUCCACUGCUUUGGUGGGUUUUGGCUGUGCUUGACCUUUCUCCUGUAACAGAUUGGAAACCUAGAGUAUCUUGCUUGUUGGUGAAAUUUGUUGGCAGAGGUGAUUGGCUGGCUACUACCUGGCUCCCCAGGCUGGUAAAAGAGGAUGGGGGCUGAGGUUUCUUCAAAGCCGGCUGCCUCUACUAUGAAGAAGCCUUUUGGCCUCAGCAGCAAGAUGGGCAAGUGGUGCUGCCACUGCUUCCCCUCCUGCAGGGGGAGUAGCAAGAACAACGUAGACUCUGGGGGAGACCACGACGACAUCGCCUUUUUGGAGCCAAGGACUGCUCUACAUUUGGCCUGUGGGAAUUCAGAAGUAGUAAAACUCCUGCUGGAUAGAAAAUGUCAACUUCAUGUCUUUGACAGCAAAAAGAGGACAGCUCUAAUAAAGGGUGGCCUCACACCACUUUUACUCGGUGUAUAUGGACAGAAACAGCAAAUGGUGGAAUUUUUAAUCAAGAAAAAAGCUAAUUUAAAUGCACUUGAUAGGUUUGGAAGGUAUAGUUAUUUUAUCUCUGUGUUGUUCUGGAGUGAUAAGUCAUUCAAGUCAUAAAUAUUAAAUUAAUAAAAUUAACUUAUACUUAUUGGAACAUGGUGAUCGGUAUCAAUACAAAUCAGUUACGGAGAAAUACAGUCAUUUGAACUAGGCAACAUAAAUAACAGUUUUAGUAGGGUUCAUCUUCUCUUAUUAUAUUGACUGAUGUUAUUUGUUAUGUGACGUUUUCGGUUAUAUGAUCUUAUGUUAGCUAAAGGGAUUUCAUAUUAGUUUCAUGAAGUGCAAACUUUAGCUUUUAGUUUUUGACUCAGUGUUGAACUUCUUAACCCUUUCUAUAGUUUUUAACCUCUACUUCUUGUAUGCUUUUCCAUUAAAUAUGCUAUAUUAAACAUAAACAGGAGUUGAAAAUCAUUUUGUCUUUUGAAUGACUGCUUUAAGUUGCUUCCUUUGAAGAAUAUUAAUGUUAGCUUAUCCCUACAUGAUGAUUAAUUGCUAUUCCCAAAUACUGUGGGUUCAUUAGCUUUUUUUCCUUCUUUAUUUCCAGUAUAUUUUGAUGUUUUUUUAAUUGGUAUGGAGAGAGGGAGUUAAGAUAGUUUUAAGUGGAUAACAUACACUUCCUUUAAUGAAGGCAAGCUGUAGGUGGGUGA